ACAGAACCAGCCCAAACCAAAAUUCCCUACCCAAUCCCAUUCCCUUACCCUUAUCUUAAUUAAAAAACAAAACCUACAUCUACACAUAUACAAAAAAAAGAAUAACACUGAAAAAAUGGGGGGAAACUGCGCAGUUUUUCAGAAAACACACCCCUCGGAGAGUCACCUUCACCCUACCCCACCCCAAACGAUCCAUCUCCAACUCCUUAGAAGCAACCAUUCUUCAUCAGCUGGACAAAAACCAAACCAGCAACCUUUCUUCUUCUUCAACCCAUUUCCACCCUCUCCAUUUCGAAUCUAGUCCAGCCAUCCACCACCCAAACGAAGCUCCUCUGUCAGCGAUUUUAAACCAUUACUGAUGCGGCGGAAGGUGAUGGAUCUGGCAAUAAAAUUAGGAAAGCCACCAAACAAUAGCCAAAGAGCAAAAUCCAACACAAAACAGCCCUUGUGACGUCCGAAACCGUCGUCCAAGCUUAGUCGACUUGAAUCCGGUGUGAUCCGUUCAAAGCUUAUGAUUUGAGGUAUAUUCGAGGUCGUCGUUGAGUCUCUUCUGUCUAGUAUAUGUCGAAUCGACCAAAUUUCCAUUAGCAGAUCCGAGGUCGUCGUUGAGGUUCUGAUUCGGUCAGUUGGUUUCUUACUCUAGGAAUUAGUUUUCAUCUUUUUGUUGGAUUCAGAAGCUGGGUUUAGCUUCGUUUGGUUAUUUGUUGUUUCAUCAGGCAAUAAAAUAUUUCUCCAAUUAUUAGUUUGGGUAAUAGUCAUGAGUUUUCGGAUUCCUGUGAUAUGGACCAAACGUUUACAUCAGAGUGUUUCGAUUGUUUUUCUAUUUUUGUUGUCUUCUCAUCUAUUUUACUAUCUCAUUACAAUAGCCGUGAUGUUUCUUGUCACGCUGAUUUGGGUUGGACCAUGAUUUUUCAGUUUUAACUUGAUAUUGUUGUUGAUUGUUCAAUGCGUUGUGUAUUGGUUUGAUUUUUAGGAAAUUACUUUAGAAAUAUAGAACUGUAUUCUGGCAAAUGGUCUAAAAUCCAUCUUUGAUGAAUAACUUGUAUUGUAUGCUUACAACAAUAUUCUACGCAUAUAUCAAUUUGGUGGU
RNAcentral lists this long non-coding RNA (1090 nucleotides) under Nicotiana benthamiana. RNAcentral's name for it is "long non-coding RNA (NBEN_LNC009825)". The record is from RNAcentral. Lineage: Eukaryota; Viridiplantae; Streptophyta; Magnoliopsida; Solanales; Solanaceae.